GUGCCAGCAGCCGCGGUAAUACGUAGGGGGCAAGCGUUGUCCGGAAUUAUUGGGCGUAAAGCGCGCGCAGGCGGUCUUUUAAGUUUGGUGUUUAAGCCCAGGGCUCAACCCUGGUUCGCACUGAAAACUGGGAGACUUGAGUGCAGGAGAGGAAAGUGGAAUUCCACGUGUAGCGGUGAAAUGCGCAGAGAUCCGGAGGAACACCAGUGGCGAAGGCGGCCUUCUGGGUCCGCCCUGACGCUGAGGCGCGAAAGCGUGGGGAGCAAACAGGAUUAGAUACCCUGGUAGUCA
Molecule: ribosomal RNA, 291 nt
Filed under: uncultured bacterium
Lineage: Bacteria
Description: partial 16S ribosomal RNA
Rfam family: Bacterial small subunit ribosomal RNA
Source: RNAcentral